This is a long non-coding RNA of Pseudophryne corroboree (corroboree frog), 2350 nucleotides long. RefSeq lists it as uncharacterized. Lineage: Eukaryota; Metazoa; Chordata; Amphibia; Anura; Myobatrachidae. The transcript is spliced from 3 exons. The record is from RefSeq and is a predicted model, not a curated record.
CAGCUCCUCUUCGGAAACAACCUUCCACCGGAAUCACCAGGUACAGAGUCCUCCUUUCUGCUGUGACGCUUCUGCCACUGGACUCCUCCCCCGACUUGCCAAUACCGCAACUAUAUCCACUAAAUCUGCAGCUCAGCAAAUAUUAACAACACUAAGGAGCCUGAAUGGACAGAUAGGUCAGCCAAGCAGUCAUCAAUUCACCAGCACAGACCGUCAGCACACAGCUCUGUGGCAGUCAUGUGCGCAAUGACGUCCGAAUCACAGCGGGAGGAACUUAAAUCAAAUGCAAAACACACAAGAUCCAACGCCGGUAAGAUGAUAUUUGACUCGCUUUGGAAUCAGAGCCUGGCGGUAAAAGCUAAGCUAUGGUUCUGAUUCCUGCGGAUGCCGGAAGUUCAGGUGGACUGUCCUGAUUGUAAGCUGUAAGAACUGUUAAAGACGCCUCACUAGAACAAUAAGUAGUGUUAGAAAUCUGCCUGCAAUGGUCCCUCUGCAAAUCAUCAAAUUAUGAAAAAUUAAUUAUUUAUUAAAAACAGGCUUCACCCAAAGGAAGAGGAGCUUCUUUAAAAAAAAUAUUUGCAUGCUCAAUGUAAUGCCAGUACAGUUGGAGUCAUUGUAGCACCCACUUGAUUUUUAGAGCAUGACACAGACUUUUACUGACAUAACACAUCCACCUGCACACUAAUUAGUUUCUGCAAGACUAACACAUUACCUUGUAGAACAGAGGGGGUCAUUCCGAGUUGAUCGCUUGCUGCCGAUUUUUGCAGCGCAGCGAUUAGGUAAAAAAAAAAAAUUAAAAACUACGCUUGCGUAUGCACUGCAAUGCGCAGGCGCAUCAUACGGGUACACAGAGGAUCUGUGCUGGGCAAUGGAUUUAGCGAAGAUUCCAUUCAUACAGCCGAACGCAAGGUGAUUGACAGAAAGAGGGCGUUUAUGGGUGUCAACUGAACAUUUUCUGGGGGUGUCUGACGUCAAUUCCGGCACCAAAAAAACUGAAGUGAUCGCAAGGGCUGAGUAAGUUCAGAGCUACUCUGAAACGGCACAAAAUGUUUUUGCUGCACUUGGCUGCAAAGGCGUUCGCACACUUGCAAAGUGAAAAUACACUGCCCCGUGGGUGGCGACUAUGCGUUUGCACGGCUGCUAAAAGUAUCUAGCGAGCAAUCAACUCAGAAUGACCCCCAGAGUGUCACUUGCCUGAACACUCUCAAACAGUAGUUUAUAUAUACAUUUGUAAUAUUCUCUUUAAUGUAAGCUUUAUCUAUUACAUAUAAAAAUAAAUUGUGUAUAGUAAUGUCUGCUGUAUGACACCCAUUAUCAAGUGUUGGGACUGGGAGACUGGCGCUGAGGAUCCCGGUGGUCAGCAUACCGACCCUGGGACAUACCUCCCAACUGUCCCGAUUUUGGCGGGACAGUCCCGUUUUCCCCAGUCUGUCCCGCUGACCCACCCGCGGGUCGCAAUGUCCUACGAGUGGGGGGGCAGUUGGGAGAUCCCUCCCCGUCACUCGCUGCUCUGAAGAGAGCAGCAGUGAAUAGACGCUGUGCGCAUGCGCACAGCGUCUAUUCCUGGCAGAGAGGGACAAGGGGCAUGGCCAGCAGCUCUCACAGUGCUGUCCAUGCCCCAUAAUGAUGAAAAUGGGGGCGUGGCUUGUGAUCGCAGCACUUGCUGCGAGGCCAUGCCCUCUUUUCUGUAGGCCAUGCCUCCUAAUUUCGGCCGCACGCUGAAGCCCUUCGUUAGAUGCCAGCAAAGUUGAGAGGUAUGCCUGGAAUCCCGGUAGCAGAAUGCCGGCCCGGGAAGAGGGGGGGGGGGGGGAGAGGAAAGGCGAGCGCAACAAAGCCUCUUGCGAGCUCGCUGUGCUCGCCACAGGUCAUAUUCCCACUCUAUGGGUGUCAUGGACUGCCGGGCUGGUAAGCGGGCGGGAUCCCGGCUUCGGCACGGUGUCCGCGGGGAUCCCGAGUGCUGUCCGCAUGACUAGAUCCAAUUAUCAAGAUAGAAUAGUAGUUACAUUACAUUCUAUAGAAUUAUUCAGGGUUGGCUGGUUUAAAUCAAAUGUUUUUUUGUUUUGUUUUUUUGUAAAAACCACUCUGGUUUUUUUAUUAUGCUGUUAGUACAGGCACGGCGCCACGACUUAUUAAAAAAAGCCUAUUAUACUAAAAAAAGUGUUUUUAUUCAUAAUGCUCAAUGCCAGUGACAUGGCCAAUGCUUAUGCUUAACUCUUCCUUUGUGUGUGUUUCCCUGAAAAGUGCUUUUGCAUUUUCCAUUUUGUAUAACUAUUCAGAUUUAAUUAUAAUAACAGUAAGACUAAUGCUUAACAUUCAUUUGUUGUUCUUAUUUUCAAUUUCAUCUACUGUA